Molecule: ribosomal RNA, 238 nt
Filed under: uncultured bacterium
Lineage: Bacteria
Description: partial 16S ribosomal RNA
Rfam family: Bacterial small subunit ribosomal RNA
Source: RNAcentral
CGUAAAGCGCAUGCAGGUGGUUUGUUAAGUCAGAUGUGAAAGCCCGGGGCUCAACUCGGAAUUGCAUUUGAAACUGGCAAACUAGAGUACUGUAGAGGGGGUAGGAAUUUCAGGUGUAGCGGUGAAAUGCGUAGAGAUCUGAAGGAAUACCGGUGGCGAAGGCGGCCCCCUGGACAGAUACUGACACUCAGGUACUGCGAAAGCGUGGGGAGCCAAACAGGAUUAGAUACCCUGGUAG